RNAcentral lists this ribosomal RNA (461 nucleotides) under uncultured bacterium. RNAcentral describes it as "partial 16S ribosomal RNA". It matches the Rfam family "Bacterial small subunit ribosomal RNA", at positions 338 to 795 of the family's 1533-position model. The record is from RNAcentral.
CCUACGGGUGGCAGCAGUGAGGAAUAUUGGUCAAUGGGCGAGAGCCUGAACCAGCCAAGUCGCGUGAAGGAUGACAGCCCUACGGGUUGUAAACUUCUUUUGUCAGGGAGCAAUUGGGUCCACGCGUGGGCUUAGCGAGAGUACCUGAAGAAAAAGCAUCGGCUAACUCCGUGCCAGCAGCCGCGGUAAUACGGAGGAUGCGAGCGUUAUCCGGAUUUAUUGGGUUUAAAGGGAGCGUAGGCCGGUCUUUAAGCGUGCCGUGAAAUUUUGUGGCUCAACCAUAGAAUUGCCGUUGAAACUGGGAGGCUUGAGUAUGUUUGAGGCAGGCGGAAUGCGUGGUGUAGCGGUGAAAUGCUUAGAUAUCACGCAGAACCCCGAUUGCGAAGGCAGCCUGCCAAGCCAUGACUGACGCUGAUGCACGAAAGCGUGGGGAUCAAACAGGAUUAGAUACCCUGGUAGUC